GCCGCAGUCGUCUAGGGGUAAGGACACCAGUUUGUGGUCCACCACAUUCAAUAACACUGGAAACCGAGGUUCGAGUCCUCGCUGCGGCA
Claviceps purpurea 20.1 is the source of this 89-nucleotide transfer RNA. It matches the Rfam family "tRNA". Rfam says of the family: Transfer RNA (tRNA) molecules are approximately 80 nucleotides in length. Lineage: Eukaryota; Fungi; Ascomycota; Sordariomycetes; Hypocreales; Clavicipitaceae. The record is from Rfam.